UGAUGGAGUAGAUGUUACACCCGUUCCCAUACCGAACACGAAGGUUAAGCUCUACAUCGCCCAUGGUACUUUGGGGGAAGCCCCACGGAAGAGUAGGACGUUGCCA
RNAcentral lists this ribosomal RNA (106 nucleotides) under Clostridium oryzae. The record is from RNAcentral. Lineage: Bacteria; Bacillati; Bacillota; Clostridia; Eubacteriales; Clostridiaceae.